UCAUAUGCUUGUCUCAAAGAUUAAGCCAUGCAUGUCUAAGUAUAAGCAAUCUAUACGGUGAAACUGCGAAUGGCUCAUUAAAUCAGUUAUCGUUUAUUUGAUAGUACCUUACUACUUGGAUAACCGUGGUAAUUCUAGAGCUAAUACAUGCUAAAAACCUCGACUUCGGAAGGGGUGUAUUUAUUAGAUAAAAAACCAAUGCCCUUCGGGGCUCCUUGGUGAUUCAUAAUAACUUAACGAAUCGCAUGGCCUUGUGCCGGCGAUGGUUCAUUCAAAUUUCUGCCCUAUCAACUUUCGAUGGUAGGAUAGUGGCCUACCAUGGUUUCAACGGGUAACGGGGAAUUAGGGUUCUAUUCCGGAGAGGGAGCCUGAGAAACGGCUACCACAUCCAAGGAAGGCAGCAGGCGCGCAAAUUACCCAAUCCCGACACGGGGAGGUAGUGACAAUAAAUACUGAUACAGGGCUCUUUUGGGUCUUGUAAUUGGAAUGAGUACAAUUUAAAUCCCUUAACGAGGAACAAUUGGAGGGCAAGUCUGGUGCCAGCAGCCGCGGUAAUUCCAGCUCCAAWAGCGUAUAUUAAAGUUGUUGCAGUUAAAAAGCUCGUAGUUGAACCUUGGGCCUGGCUGGCCGGUCCGCCUCACCGCGUGCACUGGUCCGGCCGGGCCUUUCCUUCUGGGGAGCCGCAUGCCCUUCACUGGGUGUGUCGGGGAACCAGGACUUUUACUUUGAAAAAAUUAGAGUGUUCAAAGCAGGCCUAUGCUCGAAUACAUUAGCAUGGAAUAAUAGAAUAGGACGUGUGGUUCUAUUUUGUUGGUUUCUAGGACCGCCGUAAUGAUUAAUAGGGAUAGUCGGGGGCAUCAGUAUUCAAUUGUCAGAGGUGAAAUUCUUGGAUUUAUUGAAGACUAACUACUGCGAAAGCAUUUGCCAAGGAUGUUUUCAUUAAUCAGUGAACGAAAGUUAGGGGAUCGAAGACGAUCAGAUACCGUCGUAGUCUUAACCAUAAACUAUGCCGACUAGGGAUCGGGCGAUGUUACUUUUUUGACUCGCUCGGCACCUUACGAGAAAUCAAAGUCUUUGGGUUCUGGGGGGAGUAKGGUCGCAAGGCWGAAACUUAAAGAAAUUGACGGAAGGGCACCACCAGGAGUGGAGCCUGCGGCUUAAUUUGACUCAACAC
This 1174-nucleotide ribosomal RNA is filed under the name Leptodontidium irregulare. RNAcentral's name for it is "SSU rRNA". It matches the Rfam family "Eukaryotic small subunit ribosomal RNA", at positions 24 to 1217 of the family's 1831-position model. Lineage: Eukaryota; Fungi; Ascomycota; Leotiomycetes; Helotiales; Leptodontidiaceae. The record is from RNAcentral.